RNAcentral lists this ribosomal RNA (120 nucleotides) under uncultured bacterium. Its description in RNAcentral is "partial 16S ribosomal RNA". It matches the Rfam family "Bacterial small subunit ribosomal RNA", at positions 29 to 161 of the family's 1533-position model. The record is from RNAcentral.
AACGAACGCUGGCGGCAGGCUUAACACAUGCAAGUCGAACGCCCCGCAAGGGGAGUGGCAGACGGGUGAGUAACGCGUGGGAACGUGCCCUUCGCUUCGGAAUAGUCCCGGGAAACUGGG